UGGUCUGGUAAUGUUGCCUUACCAAUUUUUGCAGCCUAUUACAUUACUGAUUGACCUUUGUAUAGAACAGGCUUUUGUUAAUCUUGCUUUCCUGUGAGGCAGAUUCAGAGUUGCUUAUGAAUGAUGGGUGUGCAACAGAUGGCCAGAUCUCUGAAGGUGGUUCACAGGACGAGUUGGAGGUUUUGGAUUUAAGUUCCUUUUGCUUUGUCCUCUUCUUUCAAGUUAACUUACUGUUUCUUUAUGCAAUUGUUU
RNAcentral lists this long non-coding RNA (252 nucleotides) under Panax ginseng (ginseng). RNAcentral's name for it is "long non-coding RNA (PGIN_LNC004445)". The record is from RNAcentral. Lineage: Eukaryota; Viridiplantae; Streptophyta; Magnoliopsida; Apiales; Araliaceae.